UGGGGGAUUUUGCACAAUGUGCGCAAGCCUGAUGCAGCGACGCCGCGUGAGGGAUGAAGGCCUUCGGGUUGUAAACCUCUUUCGCUGGGUUGACAGGCCAUGCUUUGGGUGUGGUUGAUUUGAACUGGUAAAGAAGUACCGGCUAACUACGUGCCAGCAGCCGCGGUAAUACGUAGGGUACUAGCGUUGUCCGGAUUUAUUGGGCGUAAAGGGCUUGUAGGUGGUUUGUCGCGUCUGUCGUGAAAUCCUGUGGCUUAACCAUGGGCUUGCGGUGGGUACGGGCAGGCUUGAGUGCGGUAGGGGAGACUGGAAUUCCUGGUGUAGCGGUGGAAUGCGCAGAUAUCAGGAGGAACACCGGUGGCGAAGGCGGGUCUCUGGGCCGUUACUGACACUGAGGAGCGAAAGCGUGGGGAGCGAACAGG
This 422-nucleotide ribosomal RNA is filed under the name Fusobacteriota bacterium. Its description in RNAcentral is "Fusobacteria bacterium partial 16S ribosomal RNA". It matches the Rfam family "Bacterial small subunit ribosomal RNA", at positions 355 to 776 of the family's 1533-position model. Lineage: Bacteria; Fusobacteriati; Fusobacteriota. The record is from RNAcentral.